GACGAACGCUGGCGGCGUGCUUAACACAUGCAAGUCGAACGGAAAGGCCCUGCUUUUGUAGGGUGCUCGAGUGGCGAACGGGUGAGUAACACGUGAGUAACCUGCCCUUGACUUUGGGAUAACUUCAGGAAGCUGGGGCUAAUACCGGAUAGGAGCUCCUGCUGCAGGGUGGGGGUUGGAAAGUUUCGGCGGUUGGGGAUGGACUCGCGGCUUAUCAGCUUGUUGGUGGGGUAGUGGCUUACCAAGGCUUUGACGGGUAGCCGGCCUGAGAGGGUGACCGGCCACAUUGGGACUGAGAUACGGCCCAGACUCCUACGGGAGGCAGCGGUGGGGAAUAUUGCACAAUGGGCGGAAGCCUGAUGCAGCAACGCCGCGUGCGGGAUGACGGCCUUCGGGUUGUAAACCGCUUUCGCCUGUGACGAAGCGUGAGUGACGGUAAUGGGUAAAGAAGCACCGGCUAACUACGUG
RNAcentral lists this ribosomal RNA (468 nucleotides) under uncultured bacterium. RNAcentral describes it as "partial 16S ribosomal RNA". It matches the Rfam family "Bacterial small subunit ribosomal RNA", at positions 28 to 507 of the family's 1533-position model. The record is from RNAcentral.